Molecule: ribosomal RNA, 430 nt
Filed under: uncultured bacterium
Lineage: Bacteria
Description: bacterial SSU rRNA
Rfam family: Bacterial small subunit ribosomal RNA
Source: RNAcentral
CGAACGCUGGCGGCAGGCCUAACACAUGCAAGUCGAGCGCUUCCCUUCGGGGAGGAGCGGCGGACGGGUUAGUAACGCGUGGGAAUGUACCCUUUUCUAAGGAAUAGCCUCGGGAAACUGAGAGUAAUACCUUAUACGCCCUUCGGGGGAAAGAUUUAUCGGAGAAGGAUCAGCCCGCGUUAGAUUAGAUAGUUGGUGGGGUAAUGGCCUACCAAGUCUACGAUCUAUAGCUGGUUUUAGAGGAUGAUCAGCAACACUGGGACUGAGACACGGCCCAGACUCCUACGGGAGGCAGCAGUGGGGAAUCUUGGACAAUGGGCGCAAGCCUGAUCCAGCCAUGCCGCGUGAGUGAUGAAGGCCUUAGGGUCGUAAAGCUCUUUCGCCAGGGAUGAUAAUGACAGUACCUGGUAAAGAAACCCCGGCUAACUCC